GAUGAAGAACGUAGCGAAAUGCGAUACUUGGUGUGAAUUGCAGAAUCCCGUGAACCAUCGAGUCUUUGAACGCAAGUUGCGCCCGAAGCCAUUAGGCCGAGGGCACGCCUGCCUGGGCGUCACACGUCGUUGCCCCCCCAUCUACUCCUUCGGGAUUGCGGGGGGCGGAUGGUGGCCUCCCGUGCGCCUCGCCGCGCGGUUGGCAUAAAUGCCAAGUCCUCGGCGACGCACGCCACGACAAUCGGUGGUUGCGAAACCUCGGUUGCCCGUCGUGUGCGGUCGUCGCGCAUCGAGGGCUCGAAAAAAUUGCCGGGUUCCGGCUCGGCUUUCAACGCGACCCCAGGUCAGGCGGGGUUACCCGCUGAAUUUAAGCAUAUCAAUAAGCGGAGGA
RNAcentral lists this unclassified non-coding RNA (391 nucleotides) under soil metagenome. RNAcentral describes it as "partial contains 5.8S ribosomal RNA, internal transcribed spacer 2, and large subunit ribosomal RNA". The stretch from base 1 to 122 matches the Rfam family "5.8S ribosomal RNA", at positions 35 to 154 of the family's 154-position model. The record is from RNAcentral.